AAGUCGUAACAAGGUUUCCGUAGGUGAACCUGCGGAAGGAUCAUUAUCGUGUUCCUGCCCUCUGGGUAGAAACCCCACCCUAUGUUUAACCCUAUCACUGUUUCCCUGGCGGGCCGCCUUAGGGCGCUGGCUCCGGCCGGAUCGCGCUCGUCAGGGACACCACAAAACCCUGUUUGCAAGUCUGUCCGAGUACUAUAUCAAUAGUUAAAACUUUCAACAACGGAUCUCUUGGCUCUGGCAUCGAUAACGCAGC
This 253-nucleotide unclassified non-coding RNA is filed under the name fungal sp. Its description in RNAcentral is "partial internal transcribed spacer region". The stretch from base 1 to 46 matches the Rfam family "Eukaryotic small subunit ribosomal RNA", at positions 1786 to 1831 of the family's 1831-position model. The record is from RNAcentral. Lineage: Eukaryota; Fungi.